AGUCAUUUAUAAGGAGCCAUUAUCACUCAUUCUAGAUGAUUAUGACUGCAGUGAUUAAUGCAGUAAUUUGUGUUGCAGACCUUGUUUCAUUUGUUAUAGCCCUCUUAAUGAGAAAGAAAAUUAAAAUUAAAAAGAGCUUUCUUUAAACUUUUAGGCAGCAGCACUUGUUUAUUCUGAUUUUGUUCGUAUCACUAAACUGAGAGACUAAGUUCUUUGUUAUUAGCCUUUAACUAUGUAAAGUGUUUUGUUUUCUGUCAUUUUAUUUUGGUAUGCUCAAAUUUAAAAGAAUUUACAACAGGAAAUUUUACAACUGCACUGGUUGCACAGGUGGCAUCCUAUGACAGUCCCAUGCUGAAAUUCACAUUGUUUCACAAAUGUUUGUAGAACAGUCUGCAUGCCUGAGUGCUUGAUUUUAUACACCUGUGGCCAGGUCAAGUGAUCAGGACACCUGAACCGGGUCAAUUGGAUGGGUGAGCCAAUACUUCUGGUAAUAUAGUGUAUAACCCUUACGAAAUAUUUAGAGGACAAUUAAAAUUAUUCAACUUCCUGAGAACCAAGAAAAGGAGGGUUUAUAAAAAAAUUAGUUGGCAAUUUCCAGUUUUUUUUUUUUUAAGAGAAUAUAUAUAGCAUCUUAAAUCUUGUCCUUUCAUCAGAACAAAACAUGAGAAUUAGAGUUAGCAUUAGCUUCAUCACGAAAAAACCUUCCUCACAAUCAAACAAGCCCAUAUUCAGUCUUCAAAAAUAUGUCAGUUACGUAUCAAAAAGGCACGUCUCACACAAAUAGAAAAGUAGUAGGCUUGACUGGCAACAUGAAAAACCUGACCACAAACAAAAAUAUUAUGGUGGGAACAUCAAACAACAUUGGUCCAGCAGAGAGAAGAAAGGCUGGAGAACAAAUACUUCAGAGAGCAGGUGCACUGUAUGAGCUUAUUAGGCAACAGCAGGUGUGAAAGAUGAACUGUGACAGGGCAGACUGGAAGUAUGGCAAGCUGUGAAUGCACAAACUGAAGGAAACUGACCGGGUUUCUAACCAAAACCAUGAAGCUAUUGGUAUCUGGCUAUGGGGACUCGUAGAACACCAUAGCCAGGAGCUUCUGUGUUGGUGUCUCAACAGCUGCCAAAAUAAUGCCUGAAGUGGUGACAACCAUCUGGGUCGGGCUGGUGAAGGAAUUCAUGGCUGUUCCGAACGCUGAAGAUUGGAGGUCCAUCGCUGAGGGGGUUCCAUCAACUUCCCGAACAACUGCAUGCCCCCCCCUCACUCAGGAUCCCAGUUCAACAAAUGAACUUGUAUUGUGUUUAUCAUAAAUCUGUUGAACUGCUAUUUGAAGUUAAGCUGGUGUGUGUUGUUCAAAAAAGUUCCAAAAAAUAAGACACUUUGACGUCAAUAGUGAGCAUGAACUGUGUUGCAUAAAUUAAUGAUGAAUUCCACUGUCAAGUUAAAGUGAGAAGAUACUUUUUUUCUUUACUGAAAACUGAUCUUAAGUAGCCACUAAUAAUUUUAAAGAUGAUUGGGGAAAUGGAAGAAAACUAGAAAUAAAAGAAUAAUUUACUAUUUCAACUUUUCUGACCGUUUACUUAUUUAUUCAUGACUACUUUUGCAUCACCAUGGACUGAUUUUGCAGAGAGUUCAUGCAGCUCCAAAUACAGUAUUGCACAGUCGUACUCGUUUUCCUUUUACGAAUGACUCUACUUUUUGAAGUUUUGGUUAAUCUCUUGUAGUUGACUCAAGCCAACAACAAGGGGACGUAAAGUCCAAAAAAGGCUAGGUUAAAGCAAAAACUGACUCAAUACAUUUGAAAUUAGGUACUUUUUAUGUAUGUUGGUGUAACAUCCCUUUUGGGUUUAUAGGGAUCAAGGAGCUUAACAAAAAGGGAUUUUGCUCUAACUUUAAAUUAACAACAAAAACACCAAGAGCUUGUCUUAUUAAAAAAAAAAAAAAA
Long non-coding RNA from Oryzias melastigma (Indian medaka), 1940 nucleotides. RefSeq lists it as uncharacterized. The record is from RefSeq and is a predicted model, not a curated record. The transcript is spliced from 2 exons. NCBI's taxonomy places the organism in Eukaryota, Metazoa, Chordata, Actinopteri, Beloniformes, Adrianichthyidae.